UGCGUAGGUGGCGUGUUAAGUCAGUGGUGAAAGCCUGCAGCUCAACUGUAGAGGUGCCAUUGAUACUGACAUGCUUGAGUAUGGACGAGGUAAGCGGAAUUUGUGGUGUAGCGGUGAAAUGCAUAGAUACCACAAGGAACACCGAUAGCGAAGGCAGCUUACUGGACCAUAACUGACACUGAGGCACGAAAGCGUGGGGAGCGAACAGGAUUAGAUACCCUGGUAGUCC
RNAcentral lists this ribosomal RNA (229 nucleotides) under uncultured bacterium. RNAcentral's name for it is "partial 16S ribosomal RNA". It matches the Rfam family "Bacterial small subunit ribosomal RNA", at positions 568 to 796 of the family's 1533-position model. The record is from RNAcentral.